This 968-nucleotide long non-coding RNA is filed under the name Gallus gallus (chicken). RNAcentral describes it as "lncRNA (ENSGALG00010009049.1)". Lineage: Eukaryota; Metazoa; Chordata; Aves; Galliformes; Phasianidae. The record is from RNAcentral.
CGAGCGUUAUCUUUCUGAAAUGCUCUAGCAUUGGCUCACAUGGAAAUCUAUAUUCUGCUUUCCUCUGCUCCUCAGAUCUUUUUGUGGAGGGCCAGGUUCAACCUGCACAUCCAAAACCGGCGUGAACUUCCAUUAAACAACACUGACUGAACAAUCCCUGGAUACAUGAGGUUUGCUGCCCUACAGCUGCUGCAGGAACAGCCCGAAGGCACGUACAUCUUUGAUUACAUCAAGAGCACUGCUUCCGUAACAGCGCAGAUCUUUGCUGCUAUUUCACUGCGUUAUUGUCACUAGCAGAAAAGUCACCAUUUCAGACUUACCCUCCCGAGGUCAUCUUUUUGCUGACACACACAGCCCCAGCCAGGACUGCUCCCAACUAAGUCACAGCGAUGCUGACUCCUCCGGGUUCCUGAAACUGCCACGGGACUGAGCCCAUCUGCAUUGCCCAAAUCUCAAAUCCCAGAGCUGCGUUAUGGGCAUUUUGCAGAUUGAGAAAGAAGGGCAAAGAGAAGUGCAUGGAUCUGCCUGCACAAAGAAGAUCCCUAUCUGCAGUCGGGGGCUCCUCACCGCUGUGAUAACACAAGCUGUCGUUAGAAGUGCCAGAUACACUGCAUAAAUAGAGAAAACCUCCCCGCAGUUAAGGACACCUGAAUGACAAGAUGCUAAUGUUGGAAUUUGGGAUAAUGAGAACACACUGGGACUGCCCCUUGCGCCUACAAACCCUCAGGUAACAGCACGGAGCCCUGGGAAUGGCUCUGCCAUUGCACUGAGGAGCACAAGCCUGGGCCUGGCCUGCAGGUGCAGCGGUGACAUCCAGGUUUUGUCCUCCAUGAAAUUUCUGCACUUACUUUCAACAUGUGCUGUCACUUUGCAGAUCACUUUGCAGACCACUGCUGAAUGCAAGGGACUGCCCACAAACGCCUUAUGAGUAACAUGGAGGAACAUCUACUGUCUUCUGAAGAACACAG